AAUCAUUCCUUAAAACGUAUUUCAUGCGUCCUUGCAUGUAUAUAAGUAUAGAUCCCAUCUUCCAUGUACCACAAUAUAGCUAACCUUCUUAGUCUCCAAGACCACCACCACCACCACCAUCCAUUUUGCCAGCCAGCUAGCUCUUUGCAGAUACCGGAUAUUGUUGCCUAAUUAAGAUCCCAGUAUUCCUCAGGUUUCUCUUUCAAAUGGGUUCUCAAAGAAAAAACCAGUGCUUAACGAUGAUAAUCUUUGUUGCCGCUGUUUUUGGACCAUGCUUUCAACAAAUAUUGGCAGGUAGGCCAUUAGAAGGAGAGCAAUGGUUAAAGCAAAAUCUUGGGAAUAUUCAAUCUCUUCAAAAGGGUGGAUCUUCAUGCACUCAUAUUCCUGACCAUGGUAGUGGCCCUUGCCCCUUGGGUGAAAUGAACUUUGCUGGCCAUAUUGUUGCUCAUGCACCACCUGCUUUUCCUGAUGCCAUCGUAAACUUUGCUGCAGCUUCAGUCACUAAUAAUGAGACCCAAAAACAAGAUUCAAGCUCAUGAAUAUCUUAGGGAGUUAAAUUAUACGAGUAGGGUUUCUCAAGGAAUGCGAGGAUAGUUGAAAUAAAAGAAGGAUGGAGAUGGUAC
This 623-nucleotide long non-coding RNA is filed under the name Populus trichocarpa (black cottonwood). RNAcentral's name for it is "long non-coding RNA (PTRI_LNC004131)". Lineage: Eukaryota; Viridiplantae; Streptophyta; Magnoliopsida; Malpighiales; Salicaceae. The record is from RNAcentral.